CUUCUCUGGAACACCCCAGUCCCUAAGCCCAAAUAAAUCACAGGUGCUGCUUCGCCCAGAGAAAGCCCUCUGAGGGGCCACCUUUCAAAGCCUCAGCCGCCUCCCCUGUGGAAUGGAGUCCAUGUGCUCCCCAGGGCUGGUCAAGAAUCAGGGCUUUGGCCCGCAUGGAGAAGGGCUUCCUCAGGCCUGUGGGACGCAGUGCCCGCUGUCCAUGACCUUCUGUCUCUCCACAAGGAUCAGCGUCAGCAAGUGUCUUAGUCUCACUCAGAUUUGGCCCUUCUCCCGCGCCUGCCAGUUCAGCUAGCACUUCGGCCAGUGUCUCAGGCAGGGUCUAGGGUUGCAGGCACCAGAAGCUCACUCUGCUUACUUCAGCCAAAGGGAACUGAUUGAAAGUGGGAGUGUGCCUGAGUGAGCAGAUGCUGGAGACCGCCUGGAGGCCCCAGGGCAGCCUGCAGAGGCCAAGAGGUGGAGCACGGAGCUAGGAUGCAGAAAUCCCGGCUGCGGCCAGACCGGGAAAGAGCCCCUUGAUGACAGUCCUGUGAGGCCACAUCUGAUGGAGAAACAGUGCCUCACUAGGAAACAGGUGCUAUAAGGGACAAUGGAUGUGGCCAGAACGCAGCUACCCACUCAUCAGGGGCUUAGACAGAAAGUGGAUUCUAGAAUGUCCUUUCCUCUUCAGGGCCACGCCUGGCUGAAAGAUGACGAAGCGACACACUGUAGGCAGUGUGAGAAGGAGUUCUCCAUUUCCCGGAGAAAGCACCACUGCCGGAACUGUGGCCACAUCUUCUGCAACACCUGCUCCAGCAACGAGCUGGCCCUGCCCUCCUACCCCAAGCCGGUGCGAGUGUGCGACA
This 854-nucleotide small RNA is filed under the name Pan troglodytes (chimpanzee). Its description in RNAcentral is "retained intron". Lineage: Eukaryota; Metazoa; Chordata; Mammalia; Primates; Hominidae. The record is from RNAcentral.